Molecule: unclassified non-coding RNA, 322 nt
Filed under: fungal sp.
Lineage: Eukaryota; Fungi
Description: partial internal transcribed spacer region
Rfam family: Eukaryotic small subunit ribosomal RNA (bases 1-46)
Source: RNAcentral
AAGUCGUAACAAGGUUUCCGUAGGUGAACCUGCGGAAGGAUCAUUAGAAAAUCUAUUAAUGAGCCGCAAGGCUCUAAUAUCUUGUGAAACUGUGGUGUAUCGUUGUUGUUACAAAGCAGGCUGGAGUGAGUAUAGUAAAAAUUUAUCCUAUGUAUUUAUCUUAUGGAUUUAUCUUAUGGAUUUGUUUCGAAAGACUUGCUUUGCUUGCCUCUGUGACAACAGAUAUACGAUAUACAGCUAAUAUAUAUGUUUUUGACGUUGAGGAAGUAUUAUAUCAAUUAUAAUAUAUGUACAACUUUCAACAGUGGAUCUCUCGGCUCUU